RNAcentral lists this ribosomal RNA (254 nucleotides) under uncultured bacterium. RNAcentral describes it as "partial 16S ribosomal RNA". It matches the Rfam family "Bacterial small subunit ribosomal RNA", at positions 524 to 776 of the family's 1533-position model. The record is from RNAcentral.
UACGAAGGGGGCUAGCGUUGCUCGGAAUCACUGGGCGUAAAGCGCACGUAGGCGGGUUGCCAAGUCGGGGGUGAAAUCCUGGAGCUCAACUCCAGAACUGCCUUCGAUACUGGCGAUCUUGGAGUCCGGGAGAGGUGAGUGGAACUGCGAGUGUAGAGGUGAAAUUCGUAGAUAUUGGGAAGAACACCGGUGGCGAAGGCGGCUCACUGGCCCGUAACUGACGCUCAGGCGCGAUAGCGUGGGGAUCAAACAGG